Mauremys reevesii (Reeves's turtle) is the source of this 2148-nucleotide long non-coding RNA. RefSeq lists it as uncharacterized. The record is from RefSeq and is a predicted model, not a curated record. The transcript has 3 exons. Lineage: Eukaryota; Metazoa; Chordata; Testudines; Geoemydidae.
GCGGGAGAUCUCCUGUGGCGGUAGCCAGCCUCUGGUGAUCCUUGGCCCCAGCCAACAUGGCUAUGGUCGCCUAAUCCUGCGAUAGCGUCAGUGACUCAGAAACCAAUGAUACACGUAGCCUAGGUAACUCUGUGCCUGGCACUUACCCUUGGCCUCCCUGUGCUCCCCCCCCCCCCCCACACACACCUCCCGCUGUGGUUUGUGACAUUCCCUUGCUGUAGUUUGGCUUUGUAAAAUUGAACUGGUUUGGACGGGACCGCAUCUUCCUAUCUGUGCAGUACCCAGCACAGCAAGUGUUUCGUUCUGAUUGGGGCCCCUAAGCGCUACUGUACGAAUGCAUAAUCCUGAUGGAUCGUUCCAGGUGGAUUCCAGAAUCCAGCUGUGGAUGUGAUAUAUCUUGACCUCACACCUUCUAUGGGCCAUCUUAAUUAUCACUUCAAAAAGUUUUUUUUCCUCCUGCUGAUGAUAGCUCAUCUCAAUUGAUUAGACUCUUCCUGUUGGUGACAAAUGUAUGUGGUUUACCAUAAAAAUAAGAGAUGUGUACUUGGUGAAGACUACAUCAAGUGACUGGCCAUUUUGGUGCACGGGAAAAUUAAUCCCAGACUGCAGGUCAAAUGAGGAAGUGAGAGCAGAGACGUCGCAGUGCACUCUCCUAAAAUUUCUCUGUAAACUUUGUCCAUUGGGAGCACAAAUUAAAGAUAAGACAUCCAGUUCACUCUCUUGCUGUGUUAUGAAAUAUGCUUAAUAAAUCUAUGCCAGGACUGUGCCAGUAGGGACAGCUAGGGCAGUUGUCCCAUGCUUUAUGGGAGCCCAGGCCUGGGAAUGUCCAGUGACUGAGACUGUCCUAUGCAGCACCAUGUCUGGUCAUGCCUGAUAUAGCUGCUGAGGGAAGUCAGCAGUAGGAAGGUGCUUUGAAAUGAUCAUGGAGACAGUAUAAGGAACUUGGACCUAGUAAAAGUAUGGGGCCAAAAAAGGGAAUGGCAAAAUAAGGAGCAGAUAUAAAGGAAAUUGAAAGAAAAUCAGGUGGACAAGCGGGAAUCAGUUACAAGUAGUGGGGGGUGAAAGAAAAAUAGUGGAGAGGGGAGCAGAGACAAGGGACCUUCUCGCGGGUGCAGCUCAGUGUUCAUGAGGUUGUGCGGGUUGAAACUUUAUUUCUAAAUCUAGUUCUGGGUCCUGUGAAUCUUUGCUGAUCCCAUAUUUUGAGAUCUCGGUGGGACUGCCAUUUUGCAGCCUAAAAGCACUAGCCCAUUUUUGCCAUGUGAAGUAUUGUAUCCUGGUCACACUAGGAAAAGUAAGAAAUGUGAGAGUGGAGACAGAAAACACAAGAGGCUCCUGAAUGAUCCCACCAUGUAUGUUUUUUCAUUGUUGUGGUGACUCCCCAUUUCUUUAUACAGUCUAAAAUGAUGGAGAUUCGUUACUUCUCUGUGUGAAGUAUUCUGUUAUAUUGUCAGAAAUAUUCUAUUGUGCUCAGUUCUUCUACCACCUCUCACACUUGUAUAGCAAGGCCCUUAUUCCAGUCUUUGUCAGUCAUGGCAAAAGGACUUAUUGCAUGUAAUAGAAUAUCAAAUCCUUCAGCAUCCAGAUAUAGCGGAAGUGGCACUACAGAUUCACAGACAGGAUCAACCCCACAGAAAGGGCCUAUAUUGAAUUUAUCAGUAUGCUAUACAUCUGUGAUGUGGGUGAAACUCAUUGUGGCAAAAGAGCUGGAAUGAUUGACGGUGAAACAUCUUACACCUUAUCAGAGGGCCUUCUUCUCCUUAAAGUAUGCUUUGAGUCUUGGAAAGUUAUUCUUCAACAGAUGGAACACAAACAGCUGGGGUUAUUACACGAAAGACAUGGCAAGAAUUAAAGAGUUAUAAAUUGGGAUGGGGAAAGCAGGGAGCUGUUGGACGGGGAGGGAAGACUUAAAUAUUAUUUCUCUAACAAAAGUUUUAUAUUCAGUUCUUAAUAUAUUUAGUUCUUAAUUGCUGUGCAAGCAUAGAAGCUUGUGCUUCCUCCCUGCAAAUCAUAAAAGGCCCUGUGUUUGGAAUAUUGCCAUAAAUCCUUGGAGUUUACAUUUUCUUUGCAGUCCUCUGUUUUCUUUUCUAUUCUGCAGCACAAGAUGUCAAAUGCACUCUUCCCUACAAAUAGCUAUGAUGGAGAGAGAAG